GACGAACGCUGGCGGCGUGCUUAACACAUGCAAGUCGAGCGGUAAGGCCCUUUCGGGGGUACACGAGCGGCGAACGGGUGGGUAACACGUGGGUGACCUGCCCUCCAGCUCUGGGAUAAGCCUGGGAAACCGGGUACUAAUACUGGAUAUGACUCCAUGACGCAUGUUGUGGGGUGGAAAGCCUUGUGCGGCUGAGGAUGGGCCCGCGGCCUAUCAGCUUGUUGGUGGGGUGAUGGCCUACCAAGGCGA
This 249-nucleotide ribosomal RNA is filed under the name uncultured Actinomycetes bacterium. RNAcentral's name for it is "uncultured actinobacterium partial 16S ribosomal RNA". It matches the Rfam family "Bacterial small subunit ribosomal RNA", at positions 28 to 276 of the family's 1533-position model. Lineage: Bacteria; Bacillati; Actinomycetota; Actinomycetes. The record is from RNAcentral.